AGAGCAUAUACCCUAAAUUUUCAUUUGUCUUAAAGUUUGUGAGGAAAGGCAAGUUUCAGUAUCAGUAUUCAUUAUCAGUAUCAGUGCUUCACAUAAUAUUACAUAUAAAUAUUAAUAUUGCAUAUAAAUAUCCAUACUAUUCACUAUUUAGGGCUCUUUUAUAAGGGAGCAUCGAUUUUAUUUUAAGGUGGUCCUACAAUAUUUUCGAUUACGGAAAGGGUGGGACAGCACAUCUUGUUUGUGAUUGUUCAGAACCAAGGUCAAUCAUUUGUUGGCGUCUGACGUCAGCGAAACAUAGUUGGAGAGCAGCCCGUACGAGACUCAUCGUGUGGAAAGAUCAUUGUACUUCUCAAAAUGUCCGUUUACUGUCACUGCAGUCGAUGGAAAACCGAGAAAUCACGAGAGGCUUUUAUCGAACACCGAAAAUUUUAAUAUAAUGGAGGAAAAAUGCCGGAAAUUGGCCGAAGAAGGACAUCAAAAAUGGCUUCCAACUUUCACCUGCGGGAGUGUGAUAGGCCUAAUGCUCGUGUGUGCGGUGACCGCUUUCAAUGGACUUCAAACUUACACCAGGAAAUCACAGUGAGAAGAGGGCAGGCAUGAAGACAUUUACAGUGGGACUCAAACUUCAGCUUGUAAAGAAGAGACAGACAUGAAGACAUUUUCAGAAGGAGUAGAAGACAACAGCGGCUGAAGACCUGAAGUAGAUGAAAGAAAACAAGAAAAGAACAAGUGUUAUGAAGCUGUUAAUUAGAUAAAAGACCUCCACCAUCUAACUGGUGUAAACAGUGUUGUUUUCCUCUACUAUGUGUAAUGUAGUCAUGGGCACAUUUCCCAUAGACUUAUGAUACAAGUAGUUAAAUGAUCACAAAGAUGCUCCAAAGACAUAUCAAUCUUUGGAAAAUGCACUCAUAACUACAUUAAUC
This is a long non-coding RNA of Lates calcarifer (barramundi perch), 923 nucleotides long. RefSeq lists it as uncharacterized. The record is from RefSeq and is a predicted model, not a curated record. Lineage: Eukaryota; Metazoa; Chordata; Actinopteri; Centropomidae. The transcript has 4 exons.